GACGAACGCUGGCGGCGUGCUUAACACAUGCAAGUCGAACGGUAAGGCCCUUCGGGGUACACGAGUGGCGAACGGGUGAGUAACACGUGGGUGAUCUGCCCUGCACUUCGGGAUAAGCCUGGGAAACUGGGUCUAAUACCGGAUAGGACUCCGGACUGCAUGGUCUGGGGUGGAAAGCUUUUGCGGUGUGGGAUGGGCCCGCGGCCUAUCAGCUUGUUGGUGGGGUGAUGGCCUACCAAGGCGACGACGGGUAGCCGGCGUGAGAGGGUGACCGGCCAGACGGGGACUGAGGGACGGCCCAGACUCCUACGGGGGGCAGCAGUGGGGAAUAGUGCACAAUGGGCGCAAGCCUGAUGCAGCGGCGCCGCGUGAGGGAUGACGGCCUUCGGGUUGUAAACCUCUUUUAGCAGGGAAGAAGCGAAAGUGACGGUACCUGCAGAAAAAGCACCGGCUAACUACGUGCCAGCAGCCGCCGUAA
This 478-nucleotide ribosomal RNA is filed under the name uncultured bacterium. RNAcentral's name for it is "partial 16S ribosomal RNA". It matches the Rfam family "Bacterial small subunit ribosomal RNA", at positions 28 to 523 of the family's 1533-position model. The record is from RNAcentral.